Molecule: ribosomal RNA, 488 nt
Filed under: uncultured bacterium
Lineage: Bacteria
Description: bacterial SSU rRNA
Rfam family: Bacterial small subunit ribosomal RNA
Source: RNAcentral
AUGAACGCUAGCGGCAGGCUUAACACAUGCAAGUCGAGGGGCAGCAUGAGGGUUAGCAAUAACCUUUGAUGGCGACCGGCGCAAGGGUGCGUAACGCGUGAGCAACUUGCCCGUUUCUGGGGGAUAACCGGUGGAAACGCCGACUAAUACCCCAUAGUAUUGAUUUCAGGCAUCUGUUAUCAAUUAAAGAAUUUCGGAAACGGAUAGGCUCGCGUGACAUUAGCUAGAUGGCGGGGUAACGGCCCACCAUGGCUACGAUGUCUAGGGGUUCUGAGAGGAAGGUCCCCCCACACUGGAACUGAGACACGGUCCAGACUCCUACGGGAGGCAGCAGUGAGGAAUAUUGGUCAAUGGUCUGACGACUGGACCAGCCAUGCCGCGUGAAGGUGACGGCCCUAUGGGUCUUAAACUUCUUUUGUAAGGGAGCAAUAAGUUCUACGUGUAGGAUGAUGAGAGUACCUUACGAAUAAGCAUCGGCUAACUCCGUG